This 562-nucleotide ribosomal RNA is filed under the name uncultured bacterium. RNAcentral's name for it is "bacterial SSU rRNA". It matches the Rfam family "Bacterial small subunit ribosomal RNA", at positions 338 to 916 of the family's 1533-position model. The record is from RNAcentral.
CCUACGGGAGGCAGCAGUGAGGAAUUUUCCGCAAUGGGCGCAAGCCUGACGGAGCGACGCCGCGUGCACGAGGAAGGUCUUCGGAUCGUAAAGUGCUGUCGAGGGGGACGAUUAUGACGGUACCCCUGGAGGAAGCCCCGGCUAACUUCGUGCCAGCAGCCGCGGUAAUACGAAGGGGGCUAGCGUUGCUCGGAAUCACUGGGCGUAAAGCGCACGUAGGCGGCUUUUUAAGUCAGGGGUGAAAUCCUGGAGCUCAACUCCAGAACUGCCUUUGAUACUGAGAAGCUUGAGUCCGGGAGAGGUGAGUGGAACUGCGAGUGUGGAGGUGAAAUUCGUAGAUAUUCGCAAGAACACCAGUGGCGAAGGCGAUCAUCUGGGGCUAACCUGACACUGAGGAGCGAAAGCUAGGGGAGCAAACGGGAUUAGAUACCCCGGUAGUCCUAGCCGUAAACGAUGGACACUAGGUGUAGGUGGUAUCGACUCCAUCUGUGCCGCAGUUAACACAAUAAGUAUCCCGCCUGGGGAGUACGGCCGCAAGGUUAAAACUCAAAGGAAUUGACGG